GGAGGGAACAUCGGCUGGCAUGGCGUCUUUUCAGUGGCCCUAAUAGAGACCUUCAAAGUGAAAAGAUUGAUUCCCAUGGUGAUUCACAGUGGACCCACUACACUUGAUGUAUGUACAGCUGGACGUGGAAUGUAAUGAUGCAGAGGCUGGACGAGAAGACAUUAUUAAAGGAGCGUGUGUUUACAUGGAUGAAGAUCCAGAAAACCUGGUCCAGGAAUAUGUGGUAUGUAUAUAUUUGCACGUGAAUCAAUAGCUUGAUUUUCUCUUUCUUUGUAGUUUAUUUAAGAUUUUUUUUUUCA
Molecule: long non-coding RNA, 299 nt
Organism: Oryzias melastigma (Indian medaka)
Lineage: Eukaryota; Metazoa; Chordata; Actinopteri; Beloniformes; Adrianichthyidae
Exons: 3
Source: RefSeq, a predicted model, not a curated record